Molecule: ribosomal RNA, 301 nt
Filed under: uncultured bacterium
Lineage: Bacteria
Description: partial 16S ribosomal RNA
Rfam family: Bacterial small subunit ribosomal RNA
Source: RNAcentral
CAGCAGCCGCGGUAAUACGGAGGGUGCAAGCGUUAAUCGGAAUUACUGGGCGUAAAGCGCACGCAGGCGGUCUGACAAGUCAGAUGUGAAAUCCCCGGGCUUAACCUGGGAACUGCAUUUGAAACUGUCAGGCUGGAGUCUUGUAGAGGGGGGUAGAAUUCCAGGUGUAGCGGUGAAAUGCGUAGAGAUCUGGAGGAAUACCGGUGGCGAAGGCGGCCCCCUGGACAAAGACUGACGCUCAGGUGCGAAAGCGUAAGGAGCAAACAGGAUUAGAUACCCGGGUAGUCCCUGUCUCUUAUAC